AAAAAAAUUACAAAUACCGAUCAUCCCUAGAACAAAUGACAAAAGACUUAGUGGUUGGUACCCGAAACCCAAGCUUGAAUUCUAGUUGAUUCACAUUUCAGCUAAGUUUAUUUCUAAAUGAAAUAAACGAAACGGAUAGCGUGCUAUCUAUUUCUUAAAAAUAUAUAUAUAUAUUACAAGUCACAUUGAAAGAAAAUAAAUGUAACUAAAUUACCAAACUUAUCUAGAUUAUAAACUAGUUUGAAUCAACAAUUCAAUCCUUUCAAAAUCUUAAUUUGACAAUCAAAUCGUUCAAUUUAUUUGAUUUGAGUUAGUCAACGAUAUUUUAGUUUUAAAAUUUGAGUGUGUCGUUUUUAUUUUCUAGUCUGAUUAGUAUACUUCAUGCAAUUUUCGUAACUAUAAAAUUAUUAAAUAAAAUAAUUAGUUUAAAUUUCGAAGCCAAAGAAUCGUUGGCCGACUAAAAUCAUGCAAAUUGAAAGAUUGGAUAAUAAAAAUUAAAAUUUUGAGAGAUUGAAUAACCGAUUCAAAAUAGUCUAUAAUUUAGAUAAAUUCUAUACGUUUUUU
Molecule: long non-coding RNA, 564 nt
Filed under: Ananas comosus (pineapple)
Lineage: Eukaryota; Viridiplantae; Streptophyta; Magnoliopsida; Poales; Bromeliaceae
Description: long non-coding RNA (ACOM_LNC010813)
Source: RNAcentral